Molecule: ribosomal RNA, 903 nt
Filed under: Setophoma terrestris
Lineage: Eukaryota; Fungi; Ascomycota; Dothideomycetes; Pleosporales; Phaeosphaeriaceae
Description: partial large subunit ribosomal RNA
Rfam family: Eukaryotic large subunit ribosomal RNA
Source: RNAcentral
UUGCCCUAGUAACGGCGAGUGAAGCGGCAACAGCUCAAAUUUGAAAUCUGGCUCUUUCAGAGUCCGAGUUGUAAUUUGCAGAGGGUGCUUUGGUGGUAGUUGCGGUCUAAGUUCUUUGGAACAGGACGUCACAGAGGGUGAGAAUCCCGUAUGUGGUCGCUACUUAUCACCGUGUAAAGCCCCUUCGACGAGUCGAGUUGUUUGGGAAUGCAGCUCUAAAUGGGAGGUAAAUUUCUUCUAAAGCUAAAUACUGGCCAGAGACCGAUAGCGCACAAGUAGAGUGAUCGAAAGAUGAAAAGCACUUUGGAAAGAGAGUCAAAUAGCACGUGAAAUUGUUGAAAGGGAAGCGCUUGCAGCCAGACUUGCCUGUAGUUGCUUACCUAGACUUUUGUCUGGGGUACUCUUCUGCAGGCAGGCCAGCAUCAGUUUGGGCGGUUGGAUAAAGGUCUCUGUCACGUACCUCCUUUCGGGGAGGCCUUAUAGGGGAGACGUCAUACAACCAGCCUGGACUGAGGUCCGCGCAUCUGCUAGGAUGCUGGCGUAAUGGCUGUAAGCGGCCCGUCUUGAAACACGGACCAAGGAGUCUAACAUCUAUGCGAGUGUUUGGGUGUCAAGCCCAUACGCGUAAUGAAAGUGAACGGAGGUGGGAACCUUAGGGUGCACCAUCGACCGAUCCUGAUGUCUUCGGAUGGAUUUGAGUAAGAGCAUGGCUGUUGGGACCCGAAAGAUGGUGAACUAUGCUUGAAUAGGGUGAAGCCAGAGGAAACUCUGGUGGAGGCUCGCAGCGGUUCUGACGUGCAAAUCGAUCGUCAAAUUUGGGCAUAGGGGCGAAAGACUAAUCGAACUAUCUAGUAGCUGGUUCCUGCCGAAGUUUCCCUCAGGAUAGCAGUAACGUUUUCAGUU